CCUGAGAAACCCAAAAGAUCGAAUGGGGAGAUUCAUCGUCAGCUCAUUUUAUAUAUAUGCUAGUUAUGAUAUGGGUUACUAUUUUGGUAGUAUUGCCUGUACAUUCUUGUAUAUUUAAUUGUAAGAUGUUGUCGGCGUGCACUUCUCCCCUAGUAGGACGUCGCGACCCGUUGAGUUGUUGGUCUACGGCCCAAGUGGGAGCUUUUAAUGAAUUUUAUUUAUUGAAAACCCUUGGUGUUUUCUGACUGGCACUCGUCGGUAUUCGUAUGGUAUUGAGCCGCAUAUUUAUAUGCGUCCAUAUCUGUCGCAAGCGAGGUUAGUUACUGAUAGUACGGACUUAGUGCCGUCGUUGGUGCUAAUCAGCUGUUGGUUGUACAGAAUUCUAGGACUGGCUCAUUGAAAUACCGGUCAGCGAUGCUACUGCUUUGGG
This 430-nucleotide ribosomal RNA is filed under the name Monocoila sp. RNAcentral describes it as "eukaryotic LSU rRNA". Lineage: Eukaryota; Metazoa; Arthropoda; Insecta; Hymenoptera; Braconidae. The record is from RNAcentral.